UUAAUCAUUGUUUCUAAUUCUCGCUGCUGAACAAUUUUGUCGAAGAAAUUACUAGUUUGCUUCAAAAUACGAACCUCACAGAAUCGAUUGUGAAAAUGAAGAAUGUCUACCAAAUAUUUGGUUAUUAUUAGCCCAUGUUACACCUUUACUCAAUAAUUAGAUACUUUCCCGAGAAAUUUUAAAGAUCGACACUGAUAUUAAUGUCAUCAUCACAGUGGAAAAUCGCAAUUCUCAAUCAAUAUAUAAACACGAUUAUUACAUAAGCGUGUCUGGCACGCCAGCCGGAGUCAAAAAACUAUAAGAAGCUGUGAGAGUUUAUCUGGAAGUUAGCACAAACGUGGAGAUUAAAAACAUCCGGAAAGUUUCCCCGUUUAGCAACUGUUUGAGGCGUUGGAACGCUGGCCAGCCUCCUGGAAUACGAAGAACUUUCCCGACAGUCGGUUCAUUUAAUUUAAAUGGCCUUUUAUUUUGCCUGAUCAUAUUUAGAGGGCGGCAGUUCCCGGCCACUUUGUGUAUUACAUCGCCUAUUAUUUACUUCGAACAAACAGCACCAAACAAUUACACUGAAACUUAAAUUGGGGUUUUCAAACUUCAAUAUUUUUGAACGGUAAUCUUUCUGUUUUUCACUGAAACAUUCAGUGUAUUAUUAAGACUGAAGUAAGAAAUCAGGACCAUAAAGUUUGGGAAAAUAACCGAAGUUCGCCUUUCAGAAUUUGAAACUAUUCUCUUAUUUACUCGUGUAGGCAGAUGUUUCUGUGCUAGGUUUGGGACUGAUACAUUCGUAUCUAUCUGAAAUCUUCGUACUAAUGCUUGCCCAUUUCAGAACAAAAAAUUAAAAAACUGUUUAUAUUUUUUCUGGUGCGCAUAUCUUACAAUAUAUUUACUGGAUGGUUAAUCUUAUAUGUUUCUUUCAUUUUCCAUUUCACGAGCUCUUGUGAGAACUAUUUUCUUUAAUCAGUAUUUUUGUGUUCUCAAAAGCAAAAUGAUGUAACAUUUGGUGUCCAUGUUGUGCUAAUUUUUUUGUUUUCACCAUGCUUAUGAUAUGAUCCUGAUUCCUUUGCAUUUAGUCUUAAUAAUUUUAGAUUGUUUUACGGUAUAGCAAUUUUAAAGUGUUCAAGUAAUUAGUAAUAACAGACUUCUUGACUGUUUUUUUUAA
Molecule: long non-coding RNA, 1156 nt
Organism: Dendroctonus ponderosae (mountain pine beetle)
Lineage: Eukaryota; Metazoa; Arthropoda; Insecta; Coleoptera; Curculionidae
Exons: 3
Source: RefSeq, a predicted model, not a curated record